This 253-nucleotide ribosomal RNA is filed under the name uncultured bacterium. RNAcentral's name for it is "partial 16S ribosomal RNA". It matches the Rfam family "Bacterial small subunit ribosomal RNA", at positions 524 to 776 of the family's 1533-position model. The record is from RNAcentral.
UACGAAGGGGGCUAGCGUUGCUCGGAAUCACUGGGCGUAAAGGGUGCGUAGGCGGGUCUUUAAGUCAGGGGUGAAAUCCUGGAGCUCAACUCCAGAACUGCCUUUGAUACUGAGGAUCUUGAGUACGGGAGAGGUGAGUGGAACUGCGAGUGUAGAGGUGAAAUUCGUAGAUAUUCGGAAGAACACCAGUGGCGAAGGCGACUUACUGGACACAUAUUGACGCUGAGGUGCGAAAGCGUGGGGAGCAAACAGG